AUUCACUGUUUCACGGGGGGCAUCUCAUUGUAACCCUUACAUGCUCAUAGCAGCUAACAGAUGGAAAAUCACAGAUGCAAGCUCAGGACCACGCUGCAGUUCAAAUUCCAGCUCAGUCAUUCACUAGCUAUUGACCCGAGACAUGUCACAUAGCCACUGUGUGCCUCAGUUUACUCAUUCAUAAAAUGGAGAUGAUACUUUAUAAGAGUGCUGUCACAUGAGGCAAUGUUUUCAAAAAUGCCUAACCCACCAAAAAAAAAAAAAGCCUUUAGGUAAAUGAUACUGACUGCUGCUGUUUUUCACUGUUUUUCUUUGUCCCUCAACUCUGGCUUGUGACCCAGUCACCCUGCCCCAGCAGCUCUCCUGGAGAAAGCUGGUCUUCCCUUACUCAAAGCUCCUUUUCCCAAUGCUUUGGCAAGGCCCAGCAGCCAGAACAGCUUGCUCAGCUUCUCUAUGGCUGCAGCCGCACUCUGCCCGGGAGCAGGCUGCAGUGACCCAGUGGGAGGUCAGGGCUCAGUGUUACUUACCCCUGGAGGGGCCUCGGCUCCUCAGGCUCAGCAUGUGGGGUUGGGGGUACCCCAGUGGUUCAAUUUGGCCUCCAGUUGUUGCAGACUUUAGCACCUUGAAGUGCCCAAACUGGAGAGAUCCCAGGAGUCAUCAUCCCAGGCCCAUCUGUGUUUAGAUGGGGAAGCCAAGUCCCUGAGGGAGGGAGGGGCUGGCCCAAGGACGCACUGUUAGUUCAGCCUCUUAGUAUCCUUAGUCCCUGCUGUGUGCAUUCUCAGGGAGGUUGGUGGCAGGGCGGGGCCUUCUGGCUUUGCAGUUCAGUCUAUUUCUCUGAAGAAGCUAGCCCACUCCCCACACGGUGUUUACACCCGUCACACGCACACACACUGGGACUCCUGCUUAUUCAUCAUGUGUGGCUCAGAAUGUCCCCUCCCCAGUCUCCCAGAUGCCUCCCGGGAGAAUGGGUCAUUCAUUCAUUCCCCUCAACUCUCCAUGUCCCUCCAUCCCACAUGCGUGAUGUCGCAGUGUUAGGGAUAUUCUUAUGUCUUCCUCCUUCUGCAGACUGUGACUCCCUCUGGGGAAAGAGCAGGACGUUCAGCAAACCAUUGUUGAAUAAAUGAAUGGAUUUCGCAUGGCCCAGAGGUUGAAGGAGGCAAUAGCCAAAAAUUGCACUUUUCCUUUUACAGCUCUGAUUUCUAAUUUAUUUUCUGAUUCUGGUGCUGCUUGCAGCUCACAUGGUCAAUUUCUAAACAACCAAGGGGGUCAAAAAUGCCCAGCUGUGCACGGCAGAGUUUAGGGCCUCCAGGGGAAGGGAUGUGAGAGAGGGAGUGGGGGAGUCUGGCUUCAUGGGGCGGAGAGGGAGGAAAGUCCUUUCUGGAGGGUUGCUGGGGGGCCCUCUGCAAUCCAGUCCCCACCCACCCUGAGACACAGUUUGUACUUCUGAUUCUCGUAUCCUCUACCCCAGGAAUACGUCGCCUACAGCCACACGGGCCGCAUCAUCCCUGCAAUCUGGUUCCGCUACGACCUCAGCCCCAUCACAGUCAAGUACACAGAGAGACGGCAGCCGCUGUACAGAUUCAUCACCACGAUCUGUGCCAUCAUUGGCGGGACCUUCACCGUCGCCGGCAUCCUGGACUCAUGCAUCUUCACAGCCUCUGAGGCCUGGAAGAAGAUCCAGCUGGGCAAGAUGCAUUGAUGCCACACCCAGCCUAAUGGCCGAGGACCCUGGGCAUCGCCAGCCUUGCCUCCAGCGCCCUGUCUCCUUUGGCCCUCAAUCUGGUCCCAGAUCUGGCUGUGUCCCAAAGUGUGUGUGGGAAGUUGGGGGGAAAGUAGAGGAUGGCUCGAUGUUUUGCAGCUACCUCUUUUCCCCGUGUUUCUUUUUAGACAAAUUACACUGCCUGAAGUUGCAGUUCCCCUUUCCCUGGGGAGCCCCAAGAACAGAGUCAGGCAAGGGGUGGGGAGUCCAGGGGUCUUGGGGACCCCUCCUAGGAGAGCUGCAGUCUCUUCCCUCAGGGGAACAUCCCAGAAUGCAUAUCGAUCAGCUCUCAGCCAGGCUUCGACAAUCUCGCAGCCCCCACUAUGUGGACACACCAAUGAUUUGGUUUCUCCCCUGGGCAGCCAACCUGCCCCAGAGGCACCAGACCUGGGCUCUCAGCUUUGGGACCAGGCUGCCCAAAGGUACUCCUUUAUACACCCGGCACCUUCCACGAAAGAUGGUACUUCCUAAGCAAGCCUCUAUGAUUUGUCACUAUAGAUGGAACCCUGACUUCUGCCCCAUCCCUUCCUGCCCAACCUAGAACCCAGGCCUCAAGUCUUUACCCCACCCCUUUCUUCCAAGAAGCAGAUGCCCAGUUGCUCAGCAGCAGCGGUAGACACUUGAGUCUGCCCACCAGUCACAAGACGGGUCACAGAUUCCUCUUCCUCUCUUCUCCUCGUUCCUCUGAACCCCCCACCAAUGUGCCUCAGCCUGUGUGCUGUGUGGCAACAGCAUUUCUUGGUGAAGGAGCUGGUUCCCACUGCCAAGAUCUCCCACCACUCUGCAGGGAUCUGCAGUGGCAGGGAGUGGGGGUUGUGUGAAGGGGAAGUCAUCUUUUGAGACCCAGAUAGACAUGGUUUGUGCACUUACGUCCAGAUGGGAAGCAUCCUUCCUGCAACCCUAAAAUAAUCAUGCAGCCUCUCAGACGGACGCCAUCAGUCCCAAGGCCUUAGGUGGAGGAAGCAAAGCAAGCCAUCCCUGUCCUGUCCGUGGACCUCUACCUUCUAAACUCCCUACGGGUGCAGAGCACUUGGGUCUCUCUACAGCCAUCGUGGCCCACUUGACACUGUGCUCAUCCAUCAGCUGGUCACAUGCCAACACGUUCCCAGCCCCUGAGGCAGCUCCAGGGUGCCCCACCUGCUCCUGAGGUGGGUCCCUACCCUGCUGCUCCUCUUCAUCCUUUCGCUUUUGUCCUGAAAGGGAGGGGCAAUGGUCCAGGCAUUAAUUCCACCCAGGGAAUUUUAGCUAUGCCCUCAUGUCCCAGGGAGAGAGCCACACACCUGUUUUCCAUUUAUAGCAAGAUUGUUUGCAUACUUCUGUAAUGAAGGGGAGUGUCCAGUGGAAGGAUUUUUAAAAUUAUCUUAUGGAUAGCUCAAGUCUCUGCCAUUUGUAAUUUUUGGCUCUAAGCUCCAAUUGGAGACGCUUCUCCUUGUGCAUAUGAGUUGACUGAUGUUGUGAGUGAAAAUGCAUUUGGUUAUUUCUGGUAUCUGUGGCCAAUUGGAUGGAUUUCUUUUUUUACAUUCUGUUCCCCAGUUACAGGAAGGAGUCCCUUUGGUGUGUGAAUAUGUGUGCCUGUAGAGGGUGGGGCAGGGUGGGGUGGGGAUGGAAAUGUGUGGCAUGCACGUGAGUUGAAAUUCUACUUUUAUGCAUUUUUUUGAAAACAAACAAAAAAAAACUCUGAGGACAUAGGGGAUGUCAGUUUCCUAUGGAAGAGACACCUCUGACCCGUUAUUCUUAUAAUCAAAAUCUGAAGGGAAAAAAAUGUUUUAGUUCUUUCCCCACUCAUUGGGUUCAACUAGAUUAAAAGGCUGAUUUUCAG
RNAcentral lists this small RNA (3578 nucleotides) under Pongo abelii (Sumatran orangutan). RNAcentral's name for it is "retained intron". The record is from RNAcentral. Lineage: Eukaryota; Metazoa; Chordata; Mammalia; Primates; Hominidae.